UCUUUGUGCAUCUCUACAAUCAAUAUUAGCUUGUAAGCUAAAUUAUUCUUUUUUAAAGAAACUUCACUAUAACACUUCAUGAAGACAUGAAGGAGGUGAGAAGGUGAGAAGAACUUCUUUAGUCAGAGGGUAGUUAAUCUGUGGAACUCGUUGCCACAGAGGGCUGUGAAGGCCAAGUCAGUGGAUAUUUUUAAGGCAAUUUCUUGAUUAGAACCAGGUUCAAGGGUUAUGGGGAGAAGGCAGGAAAAUGGGAUUAGGAGGCAGCGAUCAGCCAUGAUUGAAUGGCAGGGUAGACUUGAUGGGCCAAAUGACCUAAUUCUACUCCUAUAACUUGUGAACUUGUGAAGUUGAGAAUUUUUGUUUUUCAACUAAUUGUUUGUUGUGUUCUGAAAUGCACCAAUUGAAAAACAAAGUGCUGGAGGAACUCAGUGGGCCGGGCAGCAAAUCUGAAAGAAAUGGACAAACGACAUUUUAGGUCGGGUCUCAUCUUCGGACUGGUGAAGCAUCCUGACCCAAAGCAUCGUCUGGCCAUUCCUCCGCGGAUGCUGCCUGACCAGCUGAGUUUCCCCAGCACUUUGCCUUUUGCCCAAGGUUCCAGACUUGGCAGUUUCUUGUGCCUUGUGCUAUUUGGAAGUCUGGUGCCAGCAGAUUCAAUAGCAACUUUCAAAUGGACAAAAGUGCCGGAGAAACUCAGCGGGUGCAGCAGCAUCUAUGGAGCGAAGGAAAUAGGCAACGUUUCGUUCCGAAACGUUGCCUCUUUCCUUCGCUCCAUAGAUACUGCUUCACCCGCUGAGUUUCUCCAGCACUUUUGUCUACCUUCGAUUUUCCAGCAUCUGCAGUUCCUUCUUAAAAACUUUCAAAUGGAAAUUGGUUAUUGCCUGAAAAGGGGAAAAUAAGCAAAGCUACAGAAACAAAGCAGAGCGAUGGGACAAAGGGCUGAUUGGCCUCCUUCAGUGCAGUAAGACUACAAUUAGAGCAAUAGGGUCAAGUGUGGCAAAUCCUCACUGUAAUUUGAUUAUUAAAUAGCUCAUACCUAAGAGAAAACAUUCAGAGCUCGUUACUCUUGGUCACACUCAGACGCGUUGGUUAAAUGCAGCUAAUUAAAUAGGUUGAUGAGCAUGUCGUAAAUAGAGCAUGACUUUGUGUUCUUUUUAUAUUCUCACAGGUCAGGCAGAGACAGAUGGGAAAGAUCGCAAACUGUGCUACAGAAUGGAAAAAGAAUGCAUUCUCAAAAUAACGCAUUGCUUUAAUUCACACAGCUCCACAGUGCAGCAGGGAGCGUCUUGCUGACUUCUCUAAUACAUUACCUAUGUUUAGCCCUCAGGCUAAAUUACAUGGAGGAACUGCUUGUAAAUCACGCUGUGUUGCUGUUGUAUCGGACACACUUGGCUGCCUUACUUAAUUCUUUAACAUACUGCGUCCGGCUUCAUCUGCGGGAGCUGAAAUCAACUGAAACAGCCUGUUAAUGCACGAUUCAGACGUGGUGCCUGGCUCGCUUACACUGCCCUUCUCAAACCAUCUCUGGCCUUGCCUCUGCCCAUUCCAUUGCAAGCUGGUUCAGGGGCAGGAUCUCUGAGCUCUCACCGCACACGGCUGGCUGCAUUCUGUGGUCAGAACAGAAUCCCAAUAGGACAGUCUUGAAUAACACCGAGUCUUCAGAGUUGCCGCAGUCCUGGUUUCCCACUUGCGGCUUGUAUGUCUGCUGGGAGCUAAUUUCCCCAAUCCUUUCCUUUAGACUUGACAGAUUGUCAGUUAUCAUAGUAGUGAUCAAGGGCAAGAGCUGAUAUGAAGCUGAGUAACAGGCAACCUGCCAAUUGGACAGAAUAUGAUAGGAGUUACAGUCCCAAUACUUCAGGAAAGUCACUUCAGGCAUUGCAUCACAGGAACCUCUAUAAUGGUUUCAUUUCUGCCGACACAAGGAAUUACUGCAGGUGCUGGAUAAUACACAAAUGGACACAAAAUGCUGCAGUAACUCAGCGGGUCACACAACAUCUCUGUGGAACAUGAAUAGAUGAUGUUUCAGAUGUUGCCUGACCUGCAGAGUACAGUAAAACUCCGAGAAUCCGCUAACUAUUUGGAAAUUCUGACCGAUCAGA
Molecule: long non-coding RNA, 2096 nt
Organism: Leucoraja erinaceus (little skate)
Lineage: Eukaryota; Metazoa; Chordata; Chondrichthyes; Rajiformes; Rajidae
Exons: 2
Source: RefSeq, a predicted model, not a curated record